UGGGGAAUUUUGGACAAUGGGCGAAGCCUGAUCCAGCAAUGCCGCGUGUGUGAAGAAGGCCUUCGGGUUGUAAAGCACUUUUGUCCGGAAAGAAAUCCUUGGCUCUAAUACAGUCGGGGGAUGACGGUACCGGAAGAAUAAGCACCGGCUAACUACGUGCCAGCAGCCGCGGUAAUACGCAGGGUGCAAGCGUUAAUCGGAAUUACUGGGCGUAAAGCGUGCGCAGGCGGUUUGCUAAGACCGAUGUGAAAUCCCCGGGCUCAACUGGGAACUGCAUUGGUGACUGGCAGGCUAGAGUAUGGCAGAGGGGGGUAGAAUUCCACGUGUAGCAGUGAAAUGCGUAGAGAUGUGGAGGAAUACCGAUGGCGAAGGCAGCCCCCUGGGCAAUACUGACGCUCAUGCACGAAAGCGUGGGGAGCAAACAGGAUUAGAUACCCUGGUAGUCCACGCCCUAAAACGAUGUCAACUAGUUGUUGGGGAUUC
This 483-nucleotide ribosomal RNA is filed under the name uncultured bacterium. RNAcentral describes it as "partial 16S ribosomal RNA". It matches the Rfam family "Bacterial small subunit ribosomal RNA", at positions 355 to 832 of the family's 1533-position model. The record is from RNAcentral.